UGCGUAGGCGGUUUGGCAAGUUGGUAGCGUAAUUCCGGGGCUUAACUUCGGAGCUACUACCAAAACUGCUAGGCUUGAGUGCGGCAGGGGUAUGUGGAAUUCCUAGUGUAGCGGUGGAAUGCGUAGAUAUUAGGAGGAACACCAGAGGCGAAAGCGACAUACUGGGCCGUAACUGACGCUGAGGCACGAAAGCGUGGGGAGCAAACA
RNAcentral lists this ribosomal RNA (207 nucleotides) under uncultured bacterium. Its description in RNAcentral is "partial 16S ribosomal RNA". It matches the Rfam family "Bacterial small subunit ribosomal RNA", at positions 568 to 774 of the family's 1533-position model. The record is from RNAcentral.